This 741-nucleotide ribosomal RNA is filed under the name Triticum aestivum (bread wheat). Its description in RNAcentral is "partial small subunit ribosomal RNA". Lineage: Eukaryota; Viridiplantae; Streptophyta; Magnoliopsida; Poales; Poaceae. The record is from RNAcentral.
AUGAUCUCCCCAGUAGUUCAUAUAGGAGCUAUUGCCGUUUCAUUCCUAUUCGUGGUUAUGAUGUUCAAUAUUCAAAUAGCGGAGAUUCACGAAGAAGUAUUGCGCUAUUUACUAGUGAGUGGUAUUAUUGGACUGAUCUUUUGGUGGGAAAUGUUCUUAAUUUUAGAUAAUGAAACCAUUCCAUUACUACCAACCCACAGAAAUACGACCUCUCUGAGAUAUACGGUUUAUGCCGGAAAGGUACGAAGUUGGACUAAUUUGGAAACAUUGGGCAAUUUACUUUAUACCUACUAUUCCGUCUGGUUUUUGGUUUCUAGUCUGAUUUUAUUAGUUGCUAUGAUUGGGGCUAUAGUACUUACUAUGCAUAGGACUACAAAGGUGAAAAGACAGGAUGUAUUCCGACGAAAUGCCUUGGAUUCUAGGAGCCAUAUAAUGAACAGGACUAUUUCUCCUUUUGGCCAUAGCCAUAGAAGAAGCUUCUCUUCCGGAGCGGGGGGACCGCCUGACAAUUACAAAGAAACCUUUAAAAUGUGGAUUUUGUGCUCAGAAUAUAAGGAUUUCCCUGGCUUAAAAUGCAAGAUAGACAGACUUCUUGCAUUCCUUGAGCCUGGGGAGAUCCUAUUCAUGGUAAACACGUUCCCCCGGGACUUUCCUCUGCUCGAGAUCUUAGAACCCCAGGAUAUCCAAAAUAUAAUUGCUCACUCGCACAAGCAGUGGAAGCCACCCAAAAAGGGAGGCUAG